Zonotrichia albicollis (white-throated sparrow) is the source of this 2702-nucleotide long non-coding RNA. The record is from Ensembl. Lineage: Eukaryota; Metazoa; Chordata; Aves; Passeriformes; Passerellidae.
CUGCGGGGACACGGCUGAGGGGCCACGGCCGCAGGAAGCGGGGCUGAGGGGCCCGGCCUCAGGGACGCGGCCGCAGGAAGCGGGGCUGCGGGGACACGGCCGCACGUGACGCGCCCACGUCCGCCUCCGCCGGAAAGGAGCCCGCAGCUCUGCGCGGCUGAUGAGGACCAGCCCCUCUUGGUUGUUGCAGCUCUACCGGCUCUCAGCCAGCAGCUGGCCCUGCCUGCCAUCUGCAAACACUCUAGGCUUCUCACAGUCUUCUUCCACAUUUGGGAGGCCACAGCUACAAGCCAAGCCUUUGCUGCAUCUCUUAACCCAGAGGAGGAUCAGCUAUCGUCCUUCCCAGAAGGAAGAGUGACCUCCCCCCCACCUCUUUCUCUAAAUUGUUUGCAAAGCAAAAGGAGGGAGCACUACAGAUUCUGUUUGUGAAGUGAAGGCCUGAGUGGUUGUCUCAGAAUGGACUGAAGGACCAGAGCGGUGCUCACCAUCCCAGGGAGGACACCAAGUGGCUGCAGCAGCAGGAUCAGAAGGCAGGUCAUGGAUGAGGUUUUGAACACCAAGGUAGGGCUGUGUAGGUUGUGGGUUGUAUGUGGUAUGUGUGUUCUGGUGUCACAUGAGUACUGAAAAGGCUUCACGUGGUGUGCUGCUGCUGUGGGAUAGGGGUACCUAUAGCCAGCCCCUGUGCACGUGUCAUGGUUGCCCUGCCUUGAUUCCCAACACCUCUGCAUUCAGGAGCUCCCCAGGCUGUGCUUCACAGUGAGCCUUUCUGGCACAAGAGGUACAAGGGGCAGAGUUCACAUAUGCCUGGAAUUAGAAAUGGUGGCUCUGUGUCCUGAAUGCUCACCCUUGUUUGCAGCCUGGGCCUCUUGUUAACAGCAGGUAUCAGCUCCCUGAACUGCUCUGAAGCACCUUUAUCUCCUAUUUCUGGGUCCUGUGCAGCAAAAGCAGGAUGUGUUCUCACAGGGCGUUUUCAGCCUCUGCUCUCAGCAGGCUGCAGAGCUAUUUGAUCAACACAGGCUUUGACAGUCAGGCAUCAUUAAUUUUCCACAACCUACUACUUGAAACUCCUGAAAGGAUGGGCUGUCACUGUUCCUUGCAGCCCUUGCUGGCCUGAACUGCCCUCUGUACUGUCCUGCUGCAGCACAGGAGGGCUGCAUGCCUUGAGCCACUGCUCUCCUCCUUUGGGCCUGAGAUUUAAAUCCUGUCAGCUCUGGCAGGGAAAAAAAGGAAUUCUCAAUAUAGAAUUGCUUCUUUUUAAAGGACGAGAUAAACUGUAAUGCAUUAAUGGUGGAAGUGAUCAUAUACAUUUCAGGCUUAGUGAGUACCCAUUGUCUUAAAUUAAUCCUAAUAAGCACUGUUUCCCCCAGCAUGUGCCAUUUUAACAGUCACUGUGGAGAGCUCUGCUUCCUAAAACUAUCAAAAAUGAGAUGACACCCUCCUCUUUUGGAAAGCAUAAUUGAUAAAAUGUGACAAAACAUGGUUAUUGCUUAUUUGUAAGUGGGAUCCUUUAAAAAGUACUCUCUUACAUGGGUUGGGUUAAAUGACUUGCUGAUUAAGACAUCUACAUGAAAUAUGAAACUGCCAUUAUCUGGCUCCUGUUAAAAUUGAAAACCAGGAUUCUCUUUUGUGCAGAUUAAGUAAAAACUUCUAUGCUGUUUUAGAGUACAAUAUAAAUGUAGUAAGUAAAAGCUAGAGGUAUAUUUGAAUGACAAUUCACACAUAAUGUCUUAAGAAGAGAUUCUAAUGUGCUUGGGAUGAAAUUAGAAGGACAUGUUUGACACACUAAUAGACAGAUUUGAGUGCUUCCUGAGUGUUCAGAUAUAGCUUCUUCUGCUGAAAUUCCCAAAAUUACACUGCUGGCUAUUUCUGCUUUUACACAUACCCCAUUUUUACUCUAUGAAUUAUCUGCACAAUCUAACUAAAAAUACACUUCCAAAGCUUUAUCUGAGUCCCUUUCCACACACUUUGUUGGAACCCAGAGCCAAGGCCUGUGAAACUGGGACAAAUUUUAAAAUUGAACACGACUCUUCUUCUAAGUUUCCUCACUCAUUCUUUUGUCUGAGAAACCUCUACUCAGCAUGCAUUCCAGGAUACUGAAGUAACUAUUUUGCAGUUAUUUUAAAUACAUAGAUUUUUGUUAAUAGGAAAAUUAGUGCUAGAAUUUUCAACCAGAGCCUGGUUGAAAGCUCAUUAAAGUCUUUCACUGAGCAGUUAUUUCAAUGAGCUUAUAAUGAGACACUUUAUGUUCAUAUGAGCUUCACACUAAAACCAGUAGUGAGUGGUAUAAUACAAGAUCUGCCUGCAAAUCCCAAACCUGACAGUAUUUCCUGAAUGAGAUAAUGGCAAAUGAACUGCUGUUCAAAAUAAUUCACCUGAGAGUUUAAGUGGGAUGUGAUAUGGAAAUACUGGCUGGACAAGAGAGAAGCAAAAGUUUUACUAUAGCUUUUGAUCAUUGCACUGAAGAUACGUUUUAGCAGAUGAGUGGUAAUGGAUGUGGGUCAAAGUGAGGAACUAAGAGAUGCUCCUCUUCCUUUCGCAUAAAAAGGGGUUUGCAGGGAAGUUGGAAAGGAAAAAGUUACUGGGUAACAAUGCUGUCAUUAUAAUAACCCUAGGUUGUACCUUGGUCUUUUUUGUUAACAAACCAUGCCAUAUACUGAUUCUGUGCAACCACGAAAUUUAAUAAAUCAUUUUUCACAAUUGCA